RNAcentral lists this ribosomal RNA (390 nucleotides) under Triticum aestivum (bread wheat). Its description in RNAcentral is "partial small subunit ribosomal RNA". Lineage: Eukaryota; Viridiplantae; Streptophyta; Magnoliopsida; Poales; Poaceae. The record is from RNAcentral.
AUGAAUAAGACAAACGGAUGUAGUCAAACGAAUCCUCACAACUCCGGAACGAAACCGAAGCUAACGAGAGAGGCAACCCGGAAAGAAUCAAGCAACAUAGUAAACAACAAUCACAUAACAUGGCAUGAUGCACAAUCAAGUAUGAUGCAUGUUCGGUUUAAAUAUGCAUUGCAUGGCAAAGGGCACAAACAAAACUAUAAGUUAAGUGGAGCUCAAUAUGCAACGAGUUGCAUAUUGACGGAACACCACAACAAGUUAUUUAGUUCGAUCUCGCUUAUGUACUCAACAAUAUUAAAUGUUGUUAAACAUGACAAGAGAGUGAAACAUAACAAAACUAUACCAUCUAACACUUUAAAUGGGGCCGGAUAUAACAAACAACAAAUCCGGUAA